RNAcentral lists this transfer RNA (69 nucleotides) under Ictidomys tridecemlineatus (thirteen-lined ground squirrel). Its description in RNAcentral is "Spermophilus tridecemlineatus (thirteen-lined ground squirrel) tRNA". It matches the Rfam family "tRNA". From Rfam's summary of the family: Transfer RNA (tRNA) molecules are approximately 80 nucleotides in length. Their secondary structure includes four short double-helical elements and three loops (D, anti-codon, and T loops). Further hydrogen bonds mediate the characteristic L-shaped molecular structure. tRNAs have two regions of fundamental functional importance: the anti-codon, which is responsible for specific mRNA codon recognition, and the 3' end, to which the tRNAs corresponding amino acid is attached (by aminoacyl-tRNA synthetases). tRNAs cope with the degeneracy of the genetic code in two manners: having more than one tRNA (with a specific anti-codon) for a particular amino acid; and 'wobble' base-pairing, i.e. permitting non-standard base-pairing at the 3rd anti-codon position. The record is from Rfam by way of RNAcentral. Lineage: Eukaryota; Metazoa; Chordata; Mammalia; Rodentia; Sciuridae.
GGGAUUGUGGCUCAGCGGUAGAGUACUUGCCUAGCACGUACGAGGUCCUGGGUUCAAUCCUCAGCACCA